UAAGGGGGGGGGAGGGGAUGCUGUAGGUGUUUAGUAGGGUGACUCUUACAUGUUUCAUAGGUAAUACCGAGUUCUAUUUCCUUUUUGAAUAAACUGGUUGAAUUAAAGAUUUGUACAUAAGUUUAUUUCUAGCUUGGAAACUAACUGUAUAUGAGUGUCAUUGGGCACGGAUUUAGGUGAAUUAUAUGCUUGAAUGUUGGGUUUGUAUUUUUUUAGCUUUCCUUUGGGAUCUGAUAAUGGAAAAGAUAACAUCUAAUAGUUUGCUGGAAUAUCACCCUGUUUCCUUUGGCACAACUACUCUCUAAGUGAUCCAGUGUUACUUUUAAUUUAAAGCCUUCUCCAUCUUCAUGAUUUUGGAUGGAGGCAGAAAUGUCCAAACAUACGGAGGUUUCCUUCACUCAGGCAAGGUAAGGAGGAGCAGGAUAAAGGAUCACCUUGAUAACUGUUUUUGGAAGUUUAUUGCCUUAUCCUGUAAUUAAAUGGGCUCAUCAAAAUGCAAGCAUGAGGAAGAAUGAUGCUUAUUCAAAUGGCUAACUUUGGUUUGUGCCAGAGAAAUGUUGCACUUUUUUGAAAGUUUCAGUGGAGAAAACCUUUUGAGAGAUUAGAUUGGGUGCUUGCCUGUUUGGUUUUACAUAGUUUCAGAUUUAGUGGUUAGACUAAUUUAUGGAUUUUUCACUCUUUUUGUCUCUGUGUCUUUUGCCUGGAGCUUGAAAAAACAUAUUUAGUUUUGACUUGAAUCUAGGUCCUGAAAUUUUGAGAUUAGUGAAAUGGAUUUUGGAGUUUCCUUUGAUUGUUUAGUAGCAUAUGGUAUUCAAAAGUCUACUAUAUGGAAUUAUAAUAAAUUUCCUUUUCUUUUUUGCUCAAGGACUAUUGAGCUGAGAUGAUCAGUAGUUUGAUAAUGGGAAAGCAAAAAAUGUGCAGUUGUGUAUGCUGGAGUCCCAUGUAGGUGCAGAAUUAGAACUUCAAGAUUGGAGGGGUUGAGAGUAAAGGUGACUAUGGAAAACUUUGUGUAAAGGGGGAAUGGAAAAUUUUCAGGUUUUAAGGGGGUCAAAGGUAAGUGUAGCAAUGGAAAUUGAAAAAUUUGGAGAGCCAAGUCAGGGUGUUUACAUUUCAAGGGGCUAAAGGAGAGGAUAAUGGAAAAAUAUUAAGAUUUCAAGUAUUGUAUAAGAUAUAUAUUUUUUGGCUUGCUUUUGUUUUGUUUUUCUCUCGCCCUUUUUUUU
This 1220-nucleotide unclassified non-coding RNA is filed under the name Hevea brasiliensis (rubber tree). Lineage: Eukaryota; Viridiplantae; Streptophyta; Magnoliopsida; Malpighiales; Euphorbiaceae. The record is from RNAcentral.